UACGUAGGCAGCAAGCGUUGUUCGGAGUUACUGGGCGUAAAGGGUGUGUAGGCGGUUUUUUAAGUUUGGUGUGAAAUCUCCCGGCUCAACUGGGAGGGUGCGCCGAAUACUGAAAGACUAGAGUGCGGGAGAGGAAAGUGGAAUUCCUGGUGUAGCGGUGAAGUGCGUAGAGAUCGGGAGGAACACCAGUGGCGAAGGCGGCUACCUGGACCAGCACUGACACUGAGGCAUGAAAGCGUGGGGAGCAAACAGG
This 253-nucleotide ribosomal RNA is filed under the name uncultured bacterium. RNAcentral's name for it is "partial 16S ribosomal RNA". It matches the Rfam family "Bacterial small subunit ribosomal RNA", at positions 524 to 776 of the family's 1533-position model. The record is from RNAcentral.